RNAcentral lists this ribosomal RNA (460 nucleotides) under uncultured bacterium. RNAcentral describes it as "partial 16S ribosomal RNA". It matches the Rfam family "Bacterial small subunit ribosomal RNA", at positions 338 to 795 of the family's 1533-position model. The record is from RNAcentral.
CCUACGGGAGGCAGCAGUGAGGAAUAUUGGUCAAUGGGCGCGAGCCUGAACCAGCCAAGUAGCGUGAAGGAUGACUGCCCUACGGGUUGUAAACUUCUUUUAUAAAGGAGUCAAGUGAGGCACGUGUGCCUUUUUGUCUGUACUUUAUGAAUAAGGAUCGGCUAACUACGUGCCAGCAGCCGCGGUAAUCCGGAGGAUCCGAUCGUUAUCAGGAUUUCUUGGGUUUAAAGUGAGCGUAGAUGGGUUGUUAAGUCAGUUGGGAAAUUUUGCGGCUAAACCGUAAAAUUGCAAUUGAUACUGGCAGCAUAGAGCACAGUUGAGGUAGGCGGAAUUGGUGGUGUAGCGGUGAUAGGCUUAGAUAUCACGAAGAACUCCGAUUGCGAAGGCAGCCUACUAAACUGCCACUGACAUUGAGGCUCGAAAGUGUGGGUAUCAAACAGGAUUAGAUACCCUUGUAGUC